Molecule: ribosomal RNA, 250 nt
Filed under: uncultured bacterium
Lineage: Bacteria
Description: partial 16S ribosomal RNA
Rfam family: Bacterial small subunit ribosomal RNA
Source: RNAcentral
UACGUAGGUGGCAAGCGUUAUCCGGAUUUAUUGGGCGUAAAGAGCGCGUAGGUGGUCUCAUAAGUUGGGCGUGAAAGCCCCCGGCUUAACUGGGGAGGGUCGUUCAAUACUGUGAGACUCGAGGGUGGAUGAGGAGAUCGGAAUUCCCGGUGUAGUGGUGAAAUGCGUAGAUAUCGGGAGGAACACCUGUGGCGAAGGCGGAUCUCUAGGCCACUCCUGACACUGAGGCGCGAAAGCGUGGGGAGCGAAC